This 492-nucleotide ribosomal RNA is filed under the name uncultured bacterium. Its description in RNAcentral is "partial 16S ribosomal RNA". It matches the Rfam family "Bacterial small subunit ribosomal RNA", at positions 28 to 507 of the family's 1533-position model. The record is from RNAcentral.
GGUGAACGCUGGCGGCGGGCCUAAUACAUGCAAGUCGAGCGAACAGACAAUAAGCUUUCGCCUCUAACGUUAGCGGCGGGCGGGUGGGUGAGGCGUGGAUAGCCUACUUCUAUUACGGGGAGAACUUCGGGAAACAGGAUACACUACUGGCGAAUAUGUUGAACGGGAGGGUGCAAUAGAGAAUGAGGGUUUGCCUGUUACUAUGAGACGGUGCCGGAUUAGCUAGUUGGGGGGGUAAAGGCACACCAAGGCGACGAUCCGUAGCUGGUCUGAGAGGAUGAUCGGCCACACUGGAACUGAGACACGGUCCAGACUCCUACGGGAGGCAGCAGUAGGGAAUAUUGCGCAAUGGGCGCAAGCCUGACCCAGCCACGCCGCGUGAGUGAUGAAGGCCUUCGGGUUGUAAAACCCUUUUAUUGGGAAAGAAAAGAUGUGUAUUAAAAUCCCGCUGUUUUGACGGUACCCAAUCAGAAAGCACCGGCUAACUACGUG